RNAcentral lists this ribosomal RNA (447 nucleotides) under uncultured bacterium. RNAcentral's name for it is "bacterial SSU rRNA". It matches the Rfam family "Bacterial small subunit ribosomal RNA", at positions 328 to 792 of the family's 1533-position model. The record is from RNAcentral.
AUUCCAGACUCCUACGGGAGGCAGCAGUGGGGAAUAUUGCACAAUGGGGGAAACCCUGAUGCAGCGACGCCGCGUGAAGGAUGAAGUAUUUCGGUAUGUAAACUUCUAUCAGCAGGGAAGAAAAUGACGGUACCUGACUAAGAAGCCCCGGCUAACUACGUGCCAGCAGCCGCGGUAAUACGUAGGGGGCAAGCGUUAUCCGGAUUUACUGGGUGUAAAGGGAGCGUAGACGGCAUGGCAAGUCUGAUGUGAAAGCCCGGGGCUCAACCCCGGGACUGCAUUGGAAACUGUCAGGCUAGAGUGUCGGAGAGGCAAGUGGAAUUCCUAGUGUAGCGGUGAAAUGCGUAGAUAUUAGGAGGAACACCAGUGGCGAAGGCGGCUUGCUGGACGAUGACUGACGUUGAGGCUCGAAAGCGUGGGGAGCAAACAGGAUUAGAUACCCCAGUA